RNAcentral lists this ribosomal RNA (493 nucleotides) under uncultured bacterium. Its description in RNAcentral is "bacterial SSU rRNA". It matches the Rfam family "Bacterial small subunit ribosomal RNA", at positions 28 to 517 of the family's 1533-position model. The record is from RNAcentral.
GAUGAACGCUAGCGGCAGGCCUAAUACAUGCAAGUCGAACGGAUAUAUGUUUUUCGGAAUAUAUAUUAGUGGCGCACGGGUGAGUAACACGUACAUAACUUGCCCUCAAGCGGGGGAUAGCCUUGGGAAACUGAGAGUAAUACCCCAUAAGAAUUAUUGGACGGCAUCGUUUGAUAAUUAAAACUACGGUGCUUGGGGAUAGAUGUGCGUCUGAUUAGCUAGUUGGUGAGGUAACUGCUCACCAAGGCGACGAUCAGUAGGGGGCGUGAGAGCGUGGCCCCCCACACGGGUACUGAGACACGGACCAGACUCCUACGGGAGGCAGCAGUGAGGAAUAUUGGUCAAUGGUCGGAAGACUGAACCAGCCAUGCCGCGUGCAGGAAGACGGUCCUAUGGAUUGUAAACUGCUUUUGUACGGGAAGAAACACUCCUUCGUGAAGGAGCUUGACGGUACCGUAAGAAUAAGGAUCGGCUAACUCCGUGCCAGCAGCCG